Molecule: non-coding RNA, 3794 nt
Organism: Meleagris gallopavo (turkey)
Lineage: Eukaryota; Metazoa; Chordata; Aves; Galliformes; Phasianidae
Source: RefSeq, a predicted model, not a curated record
UCUGUUUUCUUUUCUCAAGUGAAAAAUGCAGAAAAAGUAUCAUACUCCCAUGUACGAAAGUAGUUUAACUGCCUUGGAACACUUCUACAAUAAGCCCCUAGAGGCUUCUUUUUCUUUUCUCUCCCCCACUUUCUUUUAUUUUUUUCCUAGCAAAUAGUUGGCCAUUUCCUUACUUCUGCUUAUCUGCAUAGACACAAAAAUUCAGGUCUCGCUUCGUUCUACAAAAAAUUUGAUUUCUUACACUGAAAUAAUUCUAAUUUCUUACCUAGCUUGAUAGAAGACGGGUAAAUACUCUAAAAUGCUUAGUUAAUUAUUUGAUUUCUGAAUCAAGUUUUGCCUCUUGGGCUCGGUUCUUCCACCUGUGUAACCCUUUUAAUGAUGUUAUUUCAGUUCAAGCCUAAGUUUGACAACCUCUUGCAAUUUUGCUUUAUUCUACAAAUGAGCAGGUGCUUGAUGUCUAUUUGAAGUGAUUUUGAAGCCAGACUUCUUUCUACUGAGUACUGAGCAUGGAGGUUUCACCUUAAGUUGGAGGUAGAGCAAUUUCAGACAAUGUGUUAUUUUUAAGUUGUUUAUACUCUGCCAUCUACUGAAGUAUGUAUAUAUUUUUUUUCUAUUGAACUUUGACAACCAAGAAGGAGGCAUGGUAAAUCCUAAGGAUUAUCAAUUUUUAAUGCUACAUUUUUGUAAGAAUGACAGUAAAAUAAAAUAAGUAAAAAAUGCAGAGAUAACUAUGCUGAGAUCAUUAUGCUAGAGAGCUGGUAGAGAAAAACUUACGCCAUUAAACUCCAGUGCUUUAAAGCUGUAUUUUUGUCUCCAGAUUUCUAUAUAUGGGAAAAGCCUCUGAUGACACCAAAACUCUCUGAAACAGAAAGUUGAGCGGAUUCAGCUUUGAUUCUAUUGAGGCUUGAACUGAUUUGAAAGAAAGUCAGGAUCAACUAUAAACUGGAAAGGCAAAGGACAAUAGAACGGGGCACUUCAUCACUGGCUGUGGUGGUGAAAUUAUUCUCAGCAUUUUGUCCAACACGUAGAUCAUGCCCAAGAAGUCUUAUCACUGUUAAGUACUGCCAUCUCCCUCUUGUAGCAUAAUGUUUUUUUUAAGUGAGGAGCACGAAAGGAUGGCUCAAGAAACAGAAGAGAUCAGUAACACAAGUUUAAAGGGACUUUAAGCCUACCUCAGCAGCAGUCUCAGUUACUUCACUCUGAUAACACUGGUUGCUCUAAGGGUUGACUUAAUUUCAUAACCACUUUUUAAGUUUCGUGGGCUAAAGGCGUAUUCACUUGAAAAAUGAUCCAGAAAGACCUGAAGAAUAAGAACCUGCAGUAAAAGUGAAAACAAAUGACAUUAAGAGUCCAGAAAUAGAAACCAAUCUCAGCAACAGUCAAUGGGCCUUCCUGGCAUUUCUCCCAUGCUCAGAUGGCAUCCGUAACAAUUUAGGUAUGACUGUUACAUAUUUGUAAUUGAUGGUUCUCUCCUGUAACAUACGAGCAGUUCCUUCUAAUCCCACCCUGUGGUGAAAUAAUAUUGAACUGUCUUAAGAAAGAGAGGGGAACAAAUUAGAACCAAGUAAAAGAAAUGCUAUUUUUCAUGGCCAGUUGGCACUGAUGAAAUUCACUGUAACAGAAGGUCACAGAGUUUAAUACUGUCUUUUUCUUAAUGUUAUUUUCUUAAAAAUCUGAAAGAACUCUUAGGAAUUAGGAAUUGAACAAACAACUUCCCAAAGAUAAUUCAUGAAGGUUGGUUAAGCUGAUCUCAGAUCUGUUUGCAUGGCCAAUCAGCUAGGAGAAAGAGAAUAACAUUUUCCACAUGAAGCUUUAGGUAAGUGAAAGGCACGUGAGACUUCUGUAUUUAUGUCUUUCCUCAGAAGCUCAGGUCUCAAGUACAUAAAGGAGCAGAGCGUUACGUGUAGACAAGAGGAACCAUGCAUCAGAUGGACACAUUUUGUUUUCCUGCUGCAUUCGUUUUACAAGAAUAUCUUUCCUUCGUUGCUUCUCUAGUGGUUGCACUAACAUGUAGCACUGCAAGAGAUGAUUAGAAGAAAUAUUAAGCGCAUCAACCAUUAACCUUGUAGGUAGACUGCUAGGAAGAAGACGAUUCCCUGUUGUUAAAAAAAAAAAAAUAAAAAAAAUUGGUCUGUAUUGAUCCUUCUCUGCGGAUUCUAAUGGUGGAGCUGAAGUGAUGCUGACAUAACUGAGAGUAUUUUGGGAGGGAAAUUGUAGUGAAAGAAGAGGAGCUAAAAACCAUGAAAUUUAAGUGUCCAGUGAGCCUAGGGCAGCAUUCCUGAUGUCCCAGGAAAUGUGCUCAUAACUUAUUAAAGUUUGCAUUGGCUCAGGUCUGAUUAAUAGAGUCCUUUUUAGAAUAAUAUUUCCACAGGAUCAGUAAAUUCUGUUCUGGAUUUUUUUUUUCCUGAUUUCAACUUUCUGUAAGAGCUUAGCAUAUAUUGAUUAGAGGAGACCAUUAUCCUUUUUCAAUUUUCUUUUUUAAUACCUUGAACAAAUUAUGUAGCACAAGAUUUUUCACUUUCUUUGUAUAGAUGACACCAGUUUGUGGUUAUAAUGAAUAAGAAUUGAAGAGAAUGAAAGGUAGGAAGUACUAAUGAUUUUAUCUCUGUGGGGGAUGCAUAUUAUGUCAAUAAUGUGUUCAUUAUUUAAAGUGAAUUUACUUAAAUUUAUGUUUUAAUUUUACUUCAAUCUCAUUCUUUUCAAGCUUUCAGGCAGUGUUCUUUGCUACUGAAAUUAUUAUUCAGAACUAUACUUAAAAAGCAUUUUUAUUAGAUAGAGGGUAUUUGUGAACUACAAACUCUUGGCUGUGCCUUCUGUCCUGUUAAGUAUGUCCACAUUCUUAAGUGAAAAUUUCCAUUUAGUGUGGCCAAUUCAGGGUACAUUUGCUGGAUGCUUUAAGUAGUCUUUAAGGAUAGCUGGCUGCUAGAUAAGGCCUCAGAAUUCUUAGUAUUAUCUAAACUGAGGAUUAAAAAGUUUCAGUUUUCCAAAGGUUUUCAUUACAUUUCCUACUCUGUCUGCUCUGCAUUGUACAUUAUUAAAGAGUACUGCUCUGACAUGCCCCCCAAAGAAGCAAAUUAACAUUUCUUGUGAACUCUGUUCUUUUGUGGAGAAGUAAUAAUGACUCAAGCAACUCCAGAAGUUUUUCAGAUGAAUCAGAAUUUAUUACUCGUAAAAUUAAUGCCCACUGCACUCACUGAUAUUGUGCAUGAACUAUCAUUUAUGAAAAAAAAAAAACCCACACCUUUUUGUACAAUUUACUGUUAUUGGUAACAGUGACUUGCAUCGAGGAUGUGAACAAAUGCAUCAUGUGAAGGACUCUUGCUCUAGCUUUUGUUCUCUUCUGUAUCCCUUUCUUUUGUCUCAUAAUAUUAGUCAAUUUCUUACAUCUUUUAGAAGAGACACAGGCUAGCCAUUGAAAAGGGGAUGCCUGCCUUGAGUUCUCAGGAUCUGGUUUGAAGCCUGUAUUCACCCGCCAGUGUGGUUGUAGAAGUAGAAAUUAUUGCUGGCAGUUUAUUUACGGAUUUGAUUAUAGAGUAGUCAUAGAAUCUUAGAAUUGUUUAAGUUGGAAAGGAUCUUUAAAGGUCAUCUAGUCCAACUUCCCUGCAAUGAACAGGAACCCCUACAGCACUAUCAGGUUGCUUAGAGCCCGUUCCUACCUGAACUUGACUCUUUCCAAGGAUAGGCCUUCCACCACCUCUCCGGGUAAUCUGUUCCAGUGACUCACUACCCUUAUAAUAAAAAACAAAAACAAAAACAAAAAACACUUUUUCCUCAUAUCCAGUCUAAAUCUUUCU